Molecule: long non-coding RNA, 390 nt
Organism: Papaver somniferum (opium poppy)
Lineage: Eukaryota; Viridiplantae; Streptophyta; Magnoliopsida; Ranunculales; Papaveraceae
Exons: 3
Source: RefSeq, a predicted model, not a curated record
GGUUCUCGCAAAAACGGCAUAAACACACCGAGAAGAGAAAACUGCAGCAAACUAAAUCCCUAAAACUUAACUCUGCCUCUCUUCGUUUUAUAUGCAGGUGCGAUUUUAUUCAAGAGAUCAACCUAUUUUUGCACGUUUUGGAUCCGAGAAGAAUGACAUAUGUGGAAGAAGCUGGGUACAUCAAGGCAGUGAGCAUGGUGAUCCUACACUUUUUGCCUAUCUCACAAUUCUAUUUUUUUGUUGCAUUGCAAAGCUGAAGCCUGAAGGUACUAUUUGUGACAAGCAAGCUUAAGGUUAUGCAGGAAAUUGUGUAGCUGAUAUCUACAACAACCUUGGGAAAACAUGGGAGAAGCUGAGAGUUUUCCAGACAGACUACUAAUGGUUUUGAUU